Molecule: long non-coding RNA, 1129 nt
Organism: Nicotiana tabacum (common tobacco)
Lineage: Eukaryota; Viridiplantae; Streptophyta; Magnoliopsida; Solanales; Solanaceae
Source: RefSeq, a predicted model, not a curated record
AAACCCCUCGCUUCGUCUCUCUAAAAAAUUCCCAUACACUCUCUGAAACUCCGCCCUAAACCGCCGCCGGGAAUCGCCUCAAGGCGGCGAAACUUCUCCAAAUGAACCCAAAUUUUCACCAGUUAACCCCCGCUGCCUCCUCUAUCCAAAUCCCCAAAUCAAUUCCCUCGAAUUACUCUCAAAAGCCUCGAAUUUCAAAUCUGAGUUUCAACCUAGAAACCCUAGUUUACCCAAAUCACCCCAAAAUCAUACCCCAUAGUCCUCACACCCCUCUGAACCCUAAACCACAACCAAUUCCCCAAAAACCCUAGCCAAUUUCUUCGAAUUUCCAAUCUGAGCUCUUGUGCCCUUCUUCUUUUAGUCAGAGUUAUGGCAUUUGAACCCCAAACUUUCAUUAGCCGACUGUUCUUGUUGAGAACAGUAAUGUCAGUUCAAUGUUCAUAUUACCCAUUUGCUUCAAAGUUUGGUCAAGACUUGUUUUGUUUGGCUUUGUUUGGUCCGUAUGGAAACAAGUUUGGUAUAUCUUGAGCUUUGAAACAUGAAUAAAAGUUUGUUUUGAAGAGUGUCUUGCUGCCAUGAAGCCUUGGAGUUCAUAUUUACACAUUUUGUUUCUUCUUGAUGUUUUACCUUUAAGUCAUUUGAAUACUGCUCUUUUGGCUUUUCUUAUUAGCUUAUGUGUAGUUACCUUAAAGUCUUGUAGUGAGGAUUCAUAAAAUAACUAGGAUAUUUAGUGUUGAUAGGGUGUGAACAACACCUCUUGCAUAUGCUGAGUUUAGGUUGAGUAGUCCAGUUCUAAAAGAAAAAAUGUUUACUUUCAGUAUUUUGCUACCUCCAUGUGAUUCUGUCCAAUAUUUUUACUGAUUGUUAAUAGGUGAGCUUUCCAUAAGUGUUGGGUAUGGUCAAAACUAGGCUAUGAUUGAUGUGUAAGUACUUUUGGAUGAAGUGUUCAGCAUUACUACAAAUGUGUAAAAUGAUUAUAUGCUUUUGCUGCUUCAUGUUGAAAAAAUGUUAUAGAUAGCGCAACUUAGAACUUAUAACAUACAAAUAAGGUGUUCAAAUUCUAUAGUAAAGUUCAUGUAAAUAACUAUCUUCUAUUUCGAGUAAAGUAUCUCUGUUCUUUGAUGGUUUA